UACGGACCGGACAAACGUUAUUCGGAAUCACUGGGCUUAAAGAGUACGUAGGCGGCUUGGCAAGUUGGGUGUGAAAGCCCUCGGCUCAACCGAGGAAUUGCGCCCAAAACUGCUAGGCUUGAGGGAGGCAGAGGUGAGCGGAACUGAUGGUGGAGCGGUGAAAUGCGUUGAUAUCAUCAGGAACACCAGUGGCGAAGGCGGCUCACUGGGCCUCUACUGACGCUGAGGUACGAAAGCUAGGGGAGCGAACGGG
This 253-nucleotide unclassified non-coding RNA is filed under the name uncultured Pirellulaceae bacterium. Its description in RNAcentral is "contains 16S-23S intergenic spacer region". It matches the Rfam family "Bacterial small subunit ribosomal RNA", at positions 524 to 776 of the family's 1533-position model. Lineage: Bacteria; Pseudomonadati; Planctomycetota; Planctomycetia; Pirellulales; Pirellulaceae. The record is from RNAcentral.